AUUGAACGCUGGCGGCAGGCCUAACACAUGCAAGUCGAGCGGCAGCGGGACCUUCGGGUUGCCGGCGAGCGGCGGACGGGUGAGUAAUGCCUAGGAAUCUGCCUGUUAGUGGGGGAUAACGCGGGGAAACUCGCGCUAAUACCGCAUACGUCCUACGGGAGAAAGCGGGGGCUCUUCGGACCUCGCGCUAACAGAUGAGCCUAGGCCGGAUUAGCUAGUUGGUGGGGUAAUGGCCCACCAAGGCGACGAUCCGUAACUGGUCUGAGAGGAUGAUCAGUCACACUGGAACUGAGACACGGUCCAGACUCCUACGGGAGGCAGCAGUGGGGAAUAUUGGACAAUGGGCGAAAGCCUGAUCCAGCCAUGCCGCGUGUGUGAAGAAGGUCUUCGGAUUGUAAAGCACUUUAAGUCGGGAGGAAGGGCUGUAGGCUAAUACCUUGCAGUUUUGACGUUACCGACAGAAUAAGCACCGGCUAACUUCGUGCCAGCCGCCGCAGUAA
RNAcentral lists this ribosomal RNA (500 nucleotides) under uncultured bacterium. RNAcentral describes it as "partial 16S ribosomal RNA". It matches the Rfam family "Bacterial small subunit ribosomal RNA", at positions 30 to 523 of the family's 1533-position model. The record is from RNAcentral.